UACAGAGGGUGCGAGCGUUAAUCGGAAUUACUGGGCGUAAAGCGUGCGUAGACGGCUAUCUAAGUCGGGUGUGAAAGCCCCGGGCUCAACCUGGGAAUUGCAUUCGAGACUGAAUAGCUAGGGUGCGGUAGAGGGAAGCGGAAUUUCCGGUGUAGCGGUGAAAUGCGUAGAUAUCCGGAAGAACACCGGAGGCGAAGGCGGCUUGCUGGACCUGGUCUGACGCUGAGGCGCGAAAGCGUGGGGAGCGAACAGG
Molecule: ribosomal RNA, 253 nt
Filed under: uncultured bacterium
Lineage: Bacteria
Description: partial 16S ribosomal RNA
Rfam family: Bacterial small subunit ribosomal RNA
Source: RNAcentral